RNAcentral lists this ribosomal RNA (861 nucleotides) under uncultured Streptococcus sp. RNAcentral describes it as "bacterial SSU rRNA". It matches the Rfam family "Bacterial small subunit ribosomal RNA", at positions 32 to 877 of the family's 1533-position model. Lineage: Bacteria; Bacillati; Bacillota; Bacilli; Lactobacillales; Streptococcaceae. The record is from RNAcentral.
AACGCUGGCGGCGUGCCUAAUACAUGCAAGUAGAACGCUGAAGGAGGAGCUUGCUCUUCUGGAUGAGUUGCGAACGGGUGAGUAACGCGUAGGUAACCUGCCUGGUAGCGGGGGAUAACUAUUGGAAACGAUAGCUAAUACCGCAUAAGAGUAGAUGUUGCAUGACAUUUGCUUAAAAGGUGCAAUUGCAUCACUACCAGAUGGACCUGCGUUGUAUUAGCUAGUUGGUGAGGUAACGGCUCACCAAGGCGACGAUACAUAGCCGACCUGAGAGGGUGAUCGGCCACACUGGGACUGAGACACGGCCCAGACUCCUACGGGAGGCAGCAGUAGGGAAUCUUCGGCAAUGGACGGAAGUCUGACCGAGCAACGCCGCGUGAGUGAAGAAGGUUUUCGGAUCGUAAAGCUCUGUUGUAAGAGAAGAACGAGUGUGAGAGUGGAAAGUUCACACUGUGACGGUAUCUUACCAGAAAGGGACGGCUAACUACGUGCCAGCAGCCGCGGUAAUACGUAGGUCCCGAGCGUUGUCCGGAUUUAUUGGGCGUAAAGCGAGCGCAGGCGGUUAGAUAAGUCUGAAGUUAAAGGCUGUGGCUUAACCAUAGUACGCUUUGGAAACUGUUUAACUUGAGUGCAAGAGGGGAGAGUGGAAUUCCAUGUGUAGCGGUGAAAUGCGUAGAUAUAUGGAGGAACACCGGUGGCGAAAGCGGCUCUCUGGCUUGUAACUGACGCUGAGGCUCGAAAGCGUGGGGAGCAAACAGGAUUAGAUAACCUGGUAGUCCACGCCGUAAACGAUGAGUGCUAGGUGUUAGACCCUUUCCGGGGUUUAGUGCCGCAGCUAACGCAUUAAGCACUCCGCCUGGG